This 439-nucleotide ribosomal RNA is filed under the name Micrococcus luteus. Its description in RNAcentral is "bacterial SSU rRNA". It matches the Rfam family "Bacterial small subunit ribosomal RNA", at positions 45 to 497 of the family's 1533-position model. The record is from RNAcentral. Lineage: Bacteria; Bacillati; Actinomycetota; Actinomycetes; Micrococcales; Micrococcaceae.
UGCUUAACACAUGCAAGUCGACCGAUGAAGCCCAGCUUGCUGGGUGGAUUAGUGCCGAACGGGUGAGUAACACGUGAGUAACCUGCCCUUAACUCUGGGAUAAGCCUGGGAAACUNGGUCUAAUACCGGAUAGGAGCGNCCACCGCAUGGUGGGUGUUGGAAAGAUUUAUCGGUUUUGGAUGGACUCGCGGCCUAUCAGCUUGUUGGUGAGGUAAUGGCUCACCAAGGCGACGACGGGUAGCCGGCCUGAGAGGGUGACCGGCCACACUGGGACUGAGACACGGCCCAGACUCCUACGGGAGGCAGCAGUGGGGAAUAUUGCACAAUGGGCGAAAGCCUGAUGCAGCGACGCCGCGUGAGGGAUGACGGCCUUCGGGUUGUAAACCUCUUUCAGUAGGGAAGAAGCGAAAGUGACGGUACCUGCAGAAGAAGCACCGGC